AAACUCAAAGGAAUUGACGGGGGCCCGCACAAGCGGUGGAGUAUGUGGUUUAAUUCGAUGCAACGCGAAGAACCUUACCUGGCCUUGACAUGUCUGGAAUCCUGCAGAGAUGCGGGAGUGCCUUCGGGAAUCAGAACACAGGUGCUGCAUGGCUGUCGUCAGCUCGUGUCGUGAGAUGUUGGGUUAAGUCCCGCAACGAGCGCAACCCUUGUCCUUAGUUGCCAGCGAGUAAUGUCGGGAACUCUAAGGAGACUGCCGGUGACAAACCGGAGGAAGGUGGGGAUGACGUCAAGUCCUCAUGGCCCUUACGGCCAGGGCUACACACGUACUACAAUGGUCGGUACAGAGGGUUGCAAUACCGCGAGGUGGAGCCAAUCCCAGAAAGCCGAUCCCAGUCCGGAUCGGAGUCUGCAACUCGACUCCGUGAAGUCGGAAUUGCUAGUAAUCGCGGAUCAGCUAUGCCGCGGUGAAUACGUUCCCGGGCCUUGUACACACCGCCCGUCACACCAUGGGAGUGGGUUGCUCCAGAAGCCGUUAGUCUAACCGCAAGGAGGACGACGACCACGGAGUGGUUCAUGACUGGGNNGAAGUCGUAACAA
RNAcentral lists this ribosomal RNA (599 nucleotides) under uncultured bacterium. RNAcentral describes it as "bacterial SSU rRNA". It matches the Rfam family "Bacterial small subunit ribosomal RNA", at positions 897 to 1494 of the family's 1533-position model. The record is from RNAcentral.